Meleagris gallopavo (turkey) is the source of this 340-nucleotide non-coding RNA. NCBI's taxonomy places the organism in Eukaryota, Metazoa, Chordata, Aves, Galliformes, Phasianidae. The record is from RefSeq and is a predicted model, not a curated record.
AUUAUUUCAUCCCACUCUUCUGUGAGUUUCUAUUAUUUCCCAUGAAUUAUGCAGCUACUUACCAUCCGAGGGUCUAGUUUUUGGCUGUCAUCCUAUGGAGUCAUUGCUUUCUGUGGACUUCCUGGCAUUGGCCUUAAUCAAGAGCUGGUGAGGGAUAAAAGCCCUUGGCUGGUCUCGUAUCUGCACUUUUUGCAUCAUCUUUGUAUUUUUAAUCUGGUAGAGGUAUUUUGAAGAGCUCGUGGCCAUAGCAACCGAAGUUGUUUGAAAGGCUGCAAAAGGUUCAGCUGCCUGCAGAACUGACCAUGAAAAAGCAAGGACAAACUGAAGUCAAGAAGUAAGA